RNAcentral lists this non-coding RNA (24 nucleotides) under Arabidopsis thaliana (thale cress). Lineage: Eukaryota; Viridiplantae; Streptophyta; Magnoliopsida; Brassicales; Brassicaceae. The record is from RNAcentral.
UUAAGUUGUUAUACUCAAUCAUAC